Long non-coding RNA from Equus caballus (horse), 4233 nucleotides. RefSeq lists it as uncharacterized. The record is from RefSeq and is a predicted model, not a curated record. Lineage: Eukaryota; Metazoa; Chordata; Mammalia; Perissodactyla; Equidae.
AGACAACAUGAAUGUAGGGGGAACAGUGGAGGGAGUGAGGAAAGUUGUGGGUAUAAUUGAGGAAUUUUCAUUAUAAACCAGGGUCUCCUUGAACCACUGCCAGGUGCCUGCCUCCAACCUAUUACAAUUCUAUUUCUGCCCAACUUCUUCUGAGUUAGAGAUUUUCCACUCAGAUCUGAGAUCAACGAUCAUAUCAAAGAUUCAUGUGAGAUUCUCAAAAUUAAAUUAAAUUCACUUUCAUUUGGAAAUUCGUUAUUUAAUGUCCAUGGCUUGUUUGGAAAGAACAGAGAAGACAACAUGGUGAAAUUAAGCACUACCUAUACCUACUCCAAAAGUUUAGAUAUCAUUGAUCUAAAGUCAGUUAUGAAAUGACCAAGUAUGUAUAUCUGUCCACUUCUCUCUCUUCCACCCAAACUCCACAGGAGACAUAGCAACCCUUAGAGCCUUUACAUACAGCCUGAGGAAGUCUGUGCAAAGAUAGGGACCUGGGUGCCUCGGGCCAUACUGCCCAAAGCAGAGCCUGGCCCAGCACAGCCCUUGUGGUUUAGCUGCUAUAUAGUCCACAACAUCCUGCCUGACAAACAGAAGGCCUGGGAAGGUCAGAUUUACCCCCAGGUCACCACUUUCUGCCAGUGGCUUUCGGGUCCAGUGUUGAUUUUUUCCCAGAGUUUAAAUCCAGAAACCUAAUCGGGACCUGGUUUUCCCUGGGUAUUCCUAACUUAAGCAAUGACUUCCAGGCCUGAAAGACAUCUUCUCUUCAGCAGUAAAAUGAAUUGUUUGACUUAAGCUUAGCAUUGUCCUCAAAUAUCCAAACUGGCAUGGUUUGUUCACCCCGAGAACCAUCCACUGACAGCCUGAGUAGGGCAAGAGAGGCAGUGAGCUCAUUGGUGAUAUCACAGAGCCUCAGUUGCCAUGGCACCAAUUCUAGGAAGAAAACACAGACAAAGGGAGUCAGAGAAUGGAAAGAAAAGAAAAAAAAUGGAAUAAUAAUGAAGAGUAAGAAAAAAAUUAUGGAUUCAAAUUUACAUUUAAGGAAUUUCUCUGAAACUGAAGCAUCUAGAACAAUUCAUUUUUUUUCAGAAUGACUGUCUUUCUUGGGGCAAGUGACAUGUCAGGACUGGUUUCUGAGGUACUUCUGAAAUUAAAAAUUAAAAGAACUAAUUUGGAAAGUUAUGUCAUACCUCUGUGUUCAAAGGAAUUAAGCUUGGAGAAGAGAGAAGGAGCAUAACACAAGUUAUAGACAGUCUAAAAGAAGAAGGUAACAUCAGAAACGGGUCUGGAUCCCAUCUUCCCAUGAACCACACCCAAGAGUUCAAAUGUACCUCACUGUCAGUAUAAGACUACCAUGCAUCCACUUAAGCAGCAAAGAAUAAAAAGGACCUAAAGUUUUGUCCUUGCACAAUAUUUUGGUUGGAACUUUUUCCAAGGUAGUUCAUUCCCCUGAAGGCUCCUUGUGGGCAAUGAUUGUUUGGAAUAAAUCUUUGUUCACAGUGGGCACUCAUUUUUCAGUGAAAUUUGUUACACCAAGAUAAACAGGAAGUCAAGCCAUAGAGAACAACUUAUGAAUAAUCUUAUAAAGUAUAGUGUUUGAAGUAAAAAUGUUUAAGAAAAGAAGUCAAAAUAAUAAUGUUAAUAGCAGUUUCUCAGAGUGACCAAAAGGCAUAAGAAGAACAGGCAGAUGCCAUAAGCAGAUUAGAUAUAUUUUUUCACUUCAGGCAUACUAUUUGUGGAAAGAAAAUGAACCAACUUGAAUUACAGCCAAAUCUAAACUCUUACUCUCUGUAGUCUUCUGUUUAAUCGUUUUAAAUGAUAAAAAGAUAACAGAAACCUGUGGGCUUUAUAUCUCUUCAGAGGAAAUAAAACAUUUGUUUUUCCAAAGGGAUACAGCAUCUACUCACUGUACCACAAAAAUUUCAUUGCUUUAUUUAUAAGAUCAAAGACCUAAUGCCUGUCACUAAAACAGUAGCGUUUUUUCAUUUGUAUUUUCCUUACUACCAAGCAUCAGUAAAGUGUCCAUGGUGUGCAGCAAAUGAAAAGAGGAUAUGGUAUAGUUUCUUCUUAAGGGAAAUUCUCAGUCCAACUUUGAAGAGGAUACACUGAAGGACAUGCACACAUUCAAAGAAGCCAAAUCACUAAGUAUUCCUUACCCAAACCUGGAUUUUUGCACCUUCUGAGCUUUUAGUAGAGGAGCAUUUACUGUUACAGAAAAUAAAUAUGAGAACCCAGGGAACAGACUCUGCCAACCAAAAUAUAAACUGCUUAGAGGCAGUUAGCACUUAACAUAAACAUUUUGACUUGACCUGAUGAUCUGUCUGUACUCUGAAAUCUUCAUACCUUAAACUAUGGCACAAAAUUUCCUUUUCUGGAGGAGGAAGUCAUUUGUGAAGUUGUCAUCUAUAUGUUGAAGAAAAAGCUAAUGAUUGGACUGACAAUAUCCAGUCCAGAUCAGACCUCAAUUCCAGUUGUCCAUAUAAAAAUAGACAUCUUAAAGUCCUCUUCCAAGUUAUUCUGGAUUUGGGGAUAUUUCCUGUAAUAGAAUAUGCUUAGUGAUGAAGCUUCCUGGAUCACUUUAAAACUAGGGGGGAAUUCAAGGCAACCUAUAAUCCUGAAAGGUUAGUUUCUCCUUGCCCUCUGCAGAUUACUGGGAUUGCACCUACCUGAGAUAAAUCUACUCUGAUGUAAUUAUAACAGGGUUCUUACUUGCAUAUAACAGAAGUUAACUCCGGCAGAUUAGGCAUGACAAUGGAAAAUAUUUAUUGAUGGGAUAUCAGGAAUCUCAAAGAAUCAAUUAAAACUGAAGAAACAGAGUUGAGUCUCAGAUUUAAAGAUCAAUGUGCAAACCCCAGUGGAACUGCUCUGAUGAGAAAUCACUAUCACUACAGCCACACCACUGCCAGUGGCCACCAGAUGCCACAGUUUCAACCACUGUCAAUUCUGGGCUAGGAAUUUUUCUUUCCUGCAAUAAUUGUGCUACGUGCUUCAUUGCUAUUUUUAUGUCAAUAUUUCACCACUGCUUUCCCACCCUCACCCCACUUCUGCUUCUUACAUCACUAGCUCCUGCAUCAAAGUCUGAUGUAGCUGUGUGGGCUUGGUGGAACCAAUAAUACAUCCCUAUGCUGUAGCUGCAAGAGAGGCUAGGAGAGCUGGUACCUGGCAAUCAGAACUCCAAUUAUGCAAAGAUAAGCUCCAAGCUUGAUAGUAAUGUGAUUCUUCAAGCCGUGAAAAAGGAUUGAGAUACUAGGCAGCCAAAAGAAACAGACAAAAAAUAUCAACUAUAAUGUCCCAAUCAUAUUGAUUCCCCAAUAAUAUCCUUGGGCUACGUUCAAUCUAGACAUUACAUAGGAUAGACUUUAGUUAAAUGACCCACUCAUCAAUAGCAGUGAAGUAGAAGCAGGAUGAGAAAUGGGAAUAAAUUUCCCUAGGGUAGUUGAGGGCUUGUCUAUCUCAUGAUAAGUGCUGUAAGAAUAUGUCAUGAUGCUUAUUAGUUGUUGCUGUACUAUCUGUAGUUCUGAGAGACAGAAGUUUACCUAAAGGGAAGGAAAUCAUCCAUCAUCUGGAAAAGUCUGUAUUAGCUGCAGUGAAAUUUAAUGCUUCCCACUCUCUUUUCUUAGAACUGAAAAGGAGUAGAUAAAGAUGAUUCAUCACCUACUCUUUCUCUUUGAGCCAAAAAUUUUUAGCCUGGGAGUCAAUGGACCACAAUUCACCACAUAACCUAGAUCCUCACUUAUAUCUAGGUGUUCGUAGAGUCUGGAAAAGAUAUUUAUAUAUAAAACUAAGCUUUUCAAAAUUUAGAUUUGGCCUAAAUAUUGUAUACAUAGAAUUUUCAAUAACCAAGGCUUGCUUAUGUACACUGGGAUGAAUUAUAUUCCAUUUUCUAUUUUUUUUAAUUACACAAGUAAUAUAUUUUAAAAUGGAUAAGUUUUCAUUGUCAAAGACAAAAUACUACAAAAUAACAAUAAUCCUCAUAUCUCCAUACUUCUGUACACCUGCUUGUCUCCCAGCAAUGUGUCCAGUUUGAUAGGUAUACUUCUAGGCCUUUUUGGGUGAAUUUAUAUGUAAAAAUAUAAAUUCUGGGUUUUGAAUGAGUAUACAAAUUGGAUUACACGAAAGUAUUGCUCUAUAACUGUCUACCACACCCAUCCACUAUUCUCACUUAAAAAGCAAGUCUGAGAGGGGGCUGGCCCCGUGGCCGAGUGGUUAAGUUCGUGCGCUCCACUGCAGGCGGCCCAGCGU